GACGAACGCUGGCGGCGUGCUUAACACAUGCAAGUCGAACGGAAAGUCCCUGCUUUUGUGGGGUGCUCUAGUUGCGAACGGGUGAGUAACACGUGAGUAACCUGCCCUUGACUUUGGGAUAACUUCAGGCAACUGGGGCUAAUACCGGAUAGGAGCUCCUGCUGCAUGGUGGGGGUUGGAUAGUUUCGGCGGUUGGGGAUGGACUCGCGGCUUAUCAGCUUGUUGGUGGGGUAGUGGCUUACCAAGGCUUUGACGGGUAGCCGGCCUGAGCGGGUGACCGGCCACAUUGGGACUGAGAUACGGCCCAGACUCCUACGGGAGGCAGCAGAGGGGAAUAUUGCACAAUGGGCGGAAGCAUGAUGCAGCAAAGCAGCGUGCGGGAUGACGGCAUUCGGGUUGUAAACCGCUUUCGCCUGUGACGAAGUGUGAGUGACGGUACUGGGUAAAGAAGCACCGGCUAACUACGUG
Molecule: ribosomal RNA, 468 nt
Filed under: uncultured bacterium
Lineage: Bacteria
Description: partial 16S ribosomal RNA
Rfam family: Bacterial small subunit ribosomal RNA
Source: RNAcentral